Molecule: ribosomal RNA, 382 nt
Filed under: Keratella quadrata
Lineage: Eukaryota; Metazoa; Rotifera; Eurotatoria; Ploima; Brachionidae
Description: partial 16S ribosomal RNA
Rfam family: Bacterial large subunit ribosomal RNA
Source: RNAcentral
GGCUGCAGUACCCUGACUGUACAAAGGUAGCGUGAUGUUUGUUUUCUUAAUUAGAGAUCUGUUCAACGAAUGAUAUAUGUGACUUCUAUUGUUUUAAAGGAAUAAAAACUUAAACUCUUAGUGAAAAUUCUAAGCUUAUUUUAAAAGACGAGAAGACCCCACAAAACUUAAUUUUUUUACAUGGGGACUGUUGAGUGUGAAAACAGAUCUAACUUCUUAAUUAUCUGAAAAGCUACUUUGGGGAUAACAGGGUGAAGCGAGUGGAGAGUUCUUAUCGAUACUUGCAAUUACUACCUCGAUGUUGGAUUAUCUUAUCAAGUAUGUAGCAGCCGCAUACUUAGUUAGUCUGUUCGACUAAUAAAAAGUUACGUGAUCUGAGUUC